AGAGCUCCAUAUUCAAACACACCAUCACAACCAUACACUCACAGGACAGCUACUGUAUGUACAGGAUAUACAACAACAUCAACACAGAGCUCCAUAUUCAAACACACCAUCACAAUCCCUUGGCAAAAAACCACAAGGCAUAUGGAGAGAAAAACUUCAAAUAUAUCCUCUCCCCUCCCUCUCAUCAGACUCCCCAAUAAGCGGCGAAAGUCCUUUUGGCUUGUCAUGAUCGCUAUUAAAGGAUAAUAAAAUUAAUCGUUUUUUACAAUUGGGUGGCAGUCCACAAAGCUACAGAAUACUAAAAUGAUCAUAUUUGAGACAAACACUGAACUGUUUUUGAAACACAUUUUGAAAAUAAAGCCAGAAAGUUAUUGCGAGAACUUUAGGAAUGUGCUGCCAUUUAUGAUUUAUUCACAUAUCGUCCAACCCAAUUAGAUCAGUAGUUUAAUGAGAAACAGCUGAACGCCUACCAAACACAGAACACACAAUCAAACAUUCAAAGAUGCUAUAGCUAACUAUCCAGCUAAAAUCACAUAUAAAUGCUAACAAUCACAGGAGGUUGGUAAUUGGAGAGGACAGGCUCGUGGUAAGGGCUGGAGAAGAUUUUGAUACCAUUCCAACAAUACAUCAGACACAAGGUUUCCAGGUGUUUGAUACCAUUCCAACAAUACAUCAGACACAAGGUUUCCAGGUGUUUGAUACCAUUCCAACAAUACAUCAGACACAAGGUUUCCAGGUGUUUGAUACCAUUCCAACAAUACAUCAGACACAAGGUUUCCAGGUGUUUGAUACCAUUCCAACAAUACAUCAGACAAAAGGUUUCCAGGUGUUUGAUACCAUUUCAACAAUACAUCAGACACAAG
This is a long non-coding RNA of Oncorhynchus tshawytscha (Chinook salmon), 863 nucleotides long. NCBI's taxonomy places the organism in Eukaryota, Metazoa, Chordata, Actinopteri, Salmoniformes, Salmonidae. The record is from Ensembl.